Molecule: ribosomal RNA, 350 nt
Filed under: uncultured bacterium
Lineage: Bacteria
Description: bacterial SSU rRNA
Rfam family: Bacterial small subunit ribosomal RNA
Source: RNAcentral
GACGAACGCUGGCGGCGUGCCUAAUACAUGCAAGUCGAACGAGAUCCCGGAGCUUGCUCCGGGGGACAGUGGCGAACGGGUGAGUAACACGUGAGAAACCUGCCCUAGAGACCGGGACAACCGUUGGAAACGGCGGCUAAUACCGGAUGCCUUCACAUGGUCGCAUGGCCGAGUGAAGAAAUGCUCAGGUGCUCUAGGAGGGUCUCGCGGCCUAUCAGCUAGUUGGUGAGGUAACGGCUCACCAAGGCAUCGACGGGUAGCUGGUCUGAGAGGACGAUCAGCCACACUGGGACUGAGACACGGCCCAGACUCCUACGGGAGGCAGCAGUAGGGAAUCUUGCGCAAUGGGG